GCGCCGGUGGUAGAGCGGCCAAUUACACGAGACUGUAAAUCUCGCGCCUUAACGGCUACGCAGGUUCGAAUCCUGCCCGGCGCA
RNAcentral lists this transfer RNA (84 nucleotides) under Candidatus Liptonbacteria bacterium. Its description in RNAcentral is "tRNA-Tyr". It matches the Rfam family "tRNA". Rfam says of the family: Transfer RNA (tRNA) molecules are approximately 80 nucleotides in length. Lineage: Bacteria; Candidatus Liptoniibacteriota. The record is from RNAcentral.